Molecule: long non-coding RNA, 4897 nt
Filed under: Sus scrofa (pig)
Lineage: Eukaryota; Metazoa; Chordata; Mammalia; Artiodactyla; Suidae
Description: lncRNA (ENSSSCG00000063092.1)
Source: RNAcentral
AUCUCUGCAAGGCUCCUCCCUCACUUCCUUCAGUCUUUGCUCCAAAGACACUCCGAGUAAGGCCACUUCCCAUCAUGCUGCCCUGUUUUGCUUAUAGUUUUUCCUAAGCAUGGGUCAUCGUCUAACAUUCUACGUGUCUGACUCAUUUAACUUCUUGGUCAAGGGCACCAGUGCUUCUUGCGGGCGGGCAUUCCUUCUGUCUGGUGGGCUCACUGCUGUGGCCCCAGGUUUGGAGCCUAGAGCAGCACCUGGUGCAGAACAGAGACUCAAGGAAGGAAGUGGGGGGAGGCGGAGGCAAGGACAGACAGCACGUGUGUGCGGGGAGCCCAGUGAGGGGACAGGACACAGCUGCUGGGAACCUGUGCUAAGCCCUUCUGGUAUCUCCUCUCAGACUGGGCUCCUAAAGUGGCCCUGGCUUCUCUUUACUGCACAUCCAUCCAACGAGCUUUAAGCCCCUUGCCCAACACACCAGACAGUUCAUGAGGCCAUGGUGACAAAGUGGCGGGGAAAGAGUGCCCAUCUUCAGGGAGGUGACCUUCUGGCUGGCAUGUGCUCAGGGACUGAAAGAGGAAAAUCCAGCAGAACCACAUCCACGGCGUUAGCUGUAGCCUGUCCUCUCAACAGGCAAGGUGUUUGCUCUUCAUGGUUUUUUUUUUCCCCUAAAACUGAAUGAAGAAAUGAUUCAUCCCCCAUAAAUGAGGGUUAAGAGCAGUCAAGUCAGUGCUGCAGAAGAGACGAUGCCUUAAAUUUCCUUUUCAGCUGGAAAUCAGCCUUAUGAUCUGCUGGGCGGUGAGAUUUCAAAUCCCUCUGAACAGAUUCCCCCCCAAAUCCCUAGGAUUUUAAUUUAAAAAAUAACUGUAGUGUAAUUUGACCCUCAGCACACUUGUCGGGAAUAAAUUCUUUGAGAAAUCCAGCUUGUGCACACGCACGAAUGCAUAAUCAUUUAAAUGCAGAAAGUACAAAAACCCAUGUCAGCUAUUAAGUUGGAUUUAAAAGGCAUCAGGUGGUGAAUUUGAUGCUGAACACAAAAUCUUGGGAACCUGAAAUGCUUUCCAAAUCUCAAUUCACAGAUUUUUUUGUUUUUUUUUUUUUGUUUUUUUGUCAACCAAAGAAUUCUCAGCAGAUGGAAGCAAAUCCAUAAACUCAGAGCAUGGUGUCCCUAGGGGAGGGGGUUGGCUUUAGAUCAGAUACGUGCAUGCUGGGAUGCUCUGGGAAAUUGGAAAUAUGGACAAAACACAUCCAGCCUUAGUCCAGACCCAGUGGAGUGAUUUCCUGCAGCUCCACCUUCCUAAACCCUGUGCAGCUGUCUAUUCAAUGGGAGAAAAGAGGGAAGCCUUUGGAGAAAUAACUGCAAUGCCCAUGAAGCUACUAAAUUAAUGUUUCGCUACGUUCCACCAAAAUAAGAGGCUCAGUAGUGCAAGUCCUUAAAAUUCUCUAGAACUGAACAGAAGAAAGGGAUGUGACCGAGAUAUUUGGAGGUUUGUCUGCCAGAAGCCGAGCUUGUGAUGCACAUAAAUAACUCACCUAGCUGCUCUUCUCCAUCUAUUACAAAAGAAAAGAAACAGCCGGAAAAGAUUAAGGAUGCCUUGAAACCCUCGAAAGCUUCCAACUUACUUGCACUCAUGAAGGCAAAGCCUAAGAACCACAGCCUCUUCGAGGUGGUGCAGCGAGGGUUCUCUCCCAUUUUCCUUCCCCCACUUGAACUUCCACAUGGUCUCAAUUAUGAGCCACCACAGUUGGAGUCAGUUGAGGGAGCCAUUGCAGUCAUGCGUGCCUUGCUUUCUACCCCCCCGCCCCCCAAGGGAGCAGGAUUUUCAGAGUACAGGAUGAAGAUCCCAUGGUUGAGGGGUCAGUGUGCACACGUGGAAAGGCUAAGAUGCCAGGUGUUUUCUGAGCCGGAUGUGCCUUGGAGACAGUCGGCCAGGAGGCCUUGGGUGGUUGAUACUUGGUGGCACCACCUUGAGUAGGUAUUUUCAUGGAAAGGGUAAACUUUCCUAUGUCUGGAAAGAAAAGGCACAUGUGCUGCUCCUUGACUUUGGGGACAAAUGAGCGAGUCAAGUUCAAAAUCAGGUCUGUAGCCUUAGAUUUCUGUUGCCCCUCCCUGUCCCAGCACAGCCAGUAGAGCUUCUCUCUCACUGCCCUUGAAUUACAGUGAUGGUGAGGAGACAUCUUCCUUUUAAUGCCUUUGCUCAUAAAAUCCCUUCAUAUGGAGAGGUCUAUAUUGUGGACCCCUCUUCCCUUAAACGUGCUGUUCGUUAAUUUUCCAAAAGCAAAAACUACGGAAAGACAUUCUUAGUUGCCAACCACAGUUCCCACUUGUAGAAUGACGGUGUUAGUGACAGCAGCAGAAGGGGCAGAAGGACAAACUGGAGGUGGAGGGGGACGGACUCUGUGGUGGUGAGGUGGCAUUAGCUGAGGAGUGCGGCUGGGAUUCAUGCAUUCUUCCAAAGACACAUGCUAUUCACGAGCACUGUGCCAGGCCCCGAGACAGGAACAGGGGAUUAAAAAGCGCCCACAAUAGGCAAAAUCUUAAUGAAUGAGAGACUUUCUGACUGUGGUAAGUGCCAGGAAAGAGAUCAGUAAGGACGCGGAUGAACAUUAGCGAUCUGCUUAUGAGGUGCGGAGGCCAGAGCCGUCCGGGACACGGCAGGUGCAGUGAGACCUAAAAUGACCGGCCAGCAGCGUGGAGACGGAGUAGCAGGGGGAAAUGGCCUUUGAGAAAGAGCAGCAUGGUCCUGGACCUGGGGGUGGGGUGUAAAGAGCGUGAAUGUUCGCCAACACGGAGUGAGGGUGAGCAAACAAACGGGGAGCCCGAGGGGGAGGGGCAUGUAUGACUUUUGGACAAAUAAGGGACUCAAGAUAAAAAUCAUGUCUGCAGUCUCGUAUUUUUGUUCUCCUCCCUGCAGGAGGAAACACCUCCAGGGUCUCGAGGGCCGAAGGACCCACAUUUUAAAUUUUGUCAUAACCUCAACGGAAAACCACAGAAAGAGUUUAAGCAGCAGAAUGGCACUUCGUAUAUCCAUUUUUCAAAGGUUCCUUUGGGUUUCUUUACGGGGAUACGCUGAGGGGGAGUGGGGCAUCCUCUCAGAGCUUAUGGCAGUGGUGCAGGUGAAAGACCACGGAGGCCAGGCAGGUUGAGGCAGGGGACAUGGAGAGAGGUUGUAACAAGGUUCUAAUCGGCAGAGUCUGUUUUUCAGAGCUGGAACGUAGUCCUGAAUGUAUUUUUUUGUUUCUGAAAAUUAGACUCCAAAAAGCUAGGGUUUGUAACUAUGAUUCUAAAAUGUAACGAAAGUAUUUUCAAAUAUCUGGCCACUGUACCAUUUCCACCAGUUUUCUCAUUAGUAACACUGAGAGUUGGUUAAUUAUCUAUGAAAGUAGAGACUGGAAUUUUUAACCUAAGAAUCUUUUGGAGGGCACUUGUUAAAAAAGCACAUUCUUGGCCUUGGCGUGGAGCUCAGGAAUUUGCUUUGUACUGAGAACCUCAAGGAAUUCAGAUAUGUUUGAGGCACACUUUGAGAAGUAGAGUGUUAAGCCUGGCAGUUCGAUUCUGCCUCCUGCUGGUGGUCUUUUAUGUAUAUACUGUUAUGUCUGUAGUGGUUGCUUUUCCCCUGAGGCAAUAGUCUGGAUGGGCUAGGUUGUGCUGCAGAAAAAAAGAACGAAACAUAAUCCUCAAACUUGCAGAGGUUCACAAGGUCAAAGUUCAUCCCUUGGGUUGAGGACAGAGGGCUCUGUUCUGCAUUGUUCUCAUCCAGGAUGCUGAUGGCAACUCUGCUGUCUGGAGUUUUGUUGGCUGCCAUAUUUGGGGGAAGAGGAAGUGGCAGAUCUGGCACUGACUUUUUGUGCUUCCUUCCAGUGAUAACCAGGGUCACUUCCACUCAUGGUUCAUUGACCACACUUAACGCUUUGCAAUCUGCUCAGGAGCCCAGAAGGAGAAGGAAAUGAGUCUCAGAGACAGUGGCAACAUCAGUCCCAGGGGAUCCGGGAGGCAGAGGUAUCAGGCCUGGGCAAAUGGUUGCUCAGCUCUUGAGGAACACCGGGCAUCUAUGGAUGGGGAGGCACUACGAGAACUGAAAGAGUGGUAAUCAUUUCCAGAGUUGCCAAUAACCUCCCUGAAGAAAUUUCUUAAUCUUUUAGAAGUAUUUUAUAUCUCUGAGGGUUAAUUGAAAAAUAGCUAAUGUAUAUUAACAGAAAGUCUCCUAAUUGAAGUUUCUUUAAACAUCUGAUUGUAUUUGCAACAAGGAACACUGCAUGGGAAUAAAAGGGUCUAUGCUGGUCAAGUCGUGUGAUGGAAUUAGUGGUACCCAGUGCUGCUCCCUGACCCUGGUACUUAGGGAGGGCGAGAGGGCAUCAGUCUCCUCUCUUCUAGCCCCACUUGUCAGUUAAUGGCUCUACAACAUGCCUCAUUUCUCUGCACCUGUUUCCUCUUCUGCACGAUAAGUUGGGGAAAGACAAUAGAUCGCUAAUGUCUCUCUCAGAAGAACCCAAAAGAUUCCAUCCUGAUGUGUUGCAAUAUGGUGAAUAGUUUAGGUCACUCCUUGUAUGGAGGAAUCACAAACCAGGUUACAAAAUUGUGUUUUAAGCUUCUGAGAAGCAUUUUGCAAUACAACUUACUGCAAAGGAGCAAAAGUGUCUCCUACUAAACAGAUGCUAAAAAUUCACCAUGGACUGUAACUUAGGAUGUACUUUAUUAAUUGGGUUUGCAUUUCCCUUUUCCCACUUAUUGGAUGUGUGCCUUUGAGAAGUUGUUUAAUCCUUAGAUCUCUCAUCAGCAGAAUGGAUUCUAAUUUAUUUCUAAUGUUCUUGAGAGAAUAACAUGAGAUAAUGUGACAAUGGGCUUAACACUGCGUCUAAGACAUACUGAUAGCUGUUUCAUGAAUGCAAAAUAAAUGAAAUGCCC